RNAcentral lists this ribosomal RNA (335 nucleotides) under Bacillus thuringiensis. Its description in RNAcentral is "bacterial SSU rRNA". It matches the Rfam family "Bacterial small subunit ribosomal RNA", at positions 1159 to 1494 of the family's 1533-position model. Lineage: Bacteria; Bacillati; Bacillota; Bacilli; Caryophanales; Bacillaceae. The record is from RNAcentral.
UUAACUGGAGGAAGGUGGGGAUGACGUCAAAUCAUCAUGCCCCUUAUGACCUGGGCUACACACGUGCUACAAUGGACGGUACAAAGAGCUGCAAGACCGCGAGGUGGAGCUAAUCUCAUAAAACCGUUCUCAGUUCGGAUUGUAGGCUGCAACUCGCCUACAUGAAGCUGGAAUCGCUAGUAAUCGCGGAUCAGCAUGCCGCGGUGAAUACGUUCCCGGGCCUUGUACACACCGCCCGUCACACCACGAGAGUUUGUAACACCCGAAGUCGGUGGGGUAACCUUUUUGGAGCCAGCCGCCUAAGGUGGGACAGAUGAUUGGGGGAAGUCUAACAA